GCUUGUACAGGAGAACGCCGUGCGUUUGAGCUUGAACUUGAUAAGCCUGGCAGAAGCCUGAUGAACCCAGGUUGAGUGAGACGUGAGACAGAGUCUUGUUCUGUUGCACAUGCUGGCGUACAGUGCCACAAUCACAGCUCACCGCAGCUUCCAACUUCUGGACUCACGUGAUCCUUCUGCCUCAGACUUCCAAGUACCUGGGACUACAGGCACGAAUCACCACAGCCAGCUUGGAGUGACUUUCUAAGGGAUAUUGAAGCCAUCCAUUGCUUUGUCUUCCAAGUUCAUCAGUGUCUGCACAACAUGGUAACAACAAAGUCAAAGACAUUCCAGACACUCUUCCAGAAAAGGGAAAAGCUAGGAGAGCCACAUAAGAAGGAUCUCCAGGAUGAAAAUAAACAAGAUAAACCAAGUUGCCACCUCCAAGGUCAGCUUCAAUGGCCACAGUUAGGUAUUUGUGGAUUCCAGCAAUUCUAUUUCAACCACCAAUACGAUCAUAUUCAAAAAGAUGAGGAAGAUGAUGAA
This 525-nucleotide non-coding RNA is filed under the name Pongo abelii (Sumatran orangutan). Lineage: Eukaryota; Metazoa; Chordata; Mammalia; Primates; Hominidae. The record is from RNAcentral.